AUUGAACGCUGGCGGCAUGCCUUACACAUGCAAGUCGAACGGCAGCACGGGAGCAAUCCUGGUGGCGAGUGGCGAACGGGUGAGUAAUACAUCGGAACGUGCCCAGUAGUGGGGGAUAACCCGGCGAAAGCCGGACUAAUACCGCAUACGACCUACGGGUGAAAGCAGGGGAUCGCAAGACCUUGCGCUAUCGGAGCGGCCGAUGUCAGAUCAGCUAGUUGGUGGGGAAAGGCCCACCAAGGCAACGAUCUGUAGCUGGUCUGAGAGGACGACCAGCCACACUGGGACUGAGACACGGCCCAGACUCCUACGGGAGC
RNAcentral lists this ribosomal RNA (317 nucleotides) under uncultured bacterium. Its description in RNAcentral is "bacterial SSU rRNA". It matches the Rfam family "Bacterial small subunit ribosomal RNA", at positions 29 to 348 of the family's 1533-position model. The record is from RNAcentral.